CCUACGGGAGGCAGCAGUGAGGAAUAUUGGUCAAUGGGCGGGAGCCUGAACCAGCCAAGUCGCGUGAGGGAAGACGGUCCUAUGGAUUGUAAACCUCUUUAGGCGGGGAGCAAUGCCGGGCACGCGUGCCCGGAGGGAGAGUACCCGCAGAAUAAGCAUCGGCUAACUCCGUGCCAGCAGCCGCGGUAAUACGGAGGAUGCGAGCGUUAUCCGGAGUUAUUGGGUUUAAAGGGUGCGUAGGCGGAUUUUUAAGUCAGCGGUAAAAUGUCCGGGCUCAAACCGGGCCGGCCGUUGAAACUGGGGAUCUUGAGUGGGCGAGAAGUAUGCGGAAUGCGUGGUGUAGCGGUGAAAUGCAUAGAUAUCACGCAGAACUCCGAUUGCGAAGGCAGCAUACCGGCGCCCGACUGACGCUGAGGCACGAAAGCGUGGGGAUCGAACAGGAUUAGAUACCCCAGUAGUC
This 460-nucleotide ribosomal RNA is filed under the name uncultured bacterium. RNAcentral describes it as "partial 16S ribosomal RNA". It matches the Rfam family "Bacterial small subunit ribosomal RNA", at positions 338 to 795 of the family's 1533-position model. The record is from RNAcentral.